GACGAACGCUGGCGGCGUGCUUAACACAUGCAAGUCGAACGAUGAAGCCGGAGCUUGCUCCGGUGGAUUAGUGGCGAACGGGUGAGUAACACGUGAGCAAUCUGCCCUUGACUCUGGGAUAACUGCGGGAAACUGUAGCUAAUACCGGAUACGACACCUUGGGGCAUCCCAGGGUGUGGAAAGAAUUUCGGUCAAGGAUGAGCUCGCGGCCUAUCAGCUAGUUGGUGAGGUAAUGGCUCACCAAGGCGACGACGGGUAGCCGGCCUGAGAGGGUGACCGGCAACACUGGAACUGAGACACGGUCCAGACUCCGACGGGAGGCAGCAGUGGGGAAUAUUGCACAAGGGGCGAAAGCCUGAUGCAGCAACGCCGCGUGAGGGAUGAAGGCCUUCGGGUUGUAAACCUCUUUUAGCAGGGAAGAAGCGAAAGUGACGGUACCUGCAGAAAAAGCACCGGCUAACUACGUACCAGCCGCCGCGGUAA
This 483-nucleotide ribosomal RNA is filed under the name uncultured bacterium. Its description in RNAcentral is "partial 16S ribosomal RNA". It matches the Rfam family "Bacterial small subunit ribosomal RNA", at positions 28 to 523 of the family's 1533-position model. The record is from RNAcentral.